CUGUUUCGGGGGCUGAAAAGGCUAUUGCAGGUAACCUUUGUCGAUGCACAGGUUACCGACCGAUUACUGAUGCCUGCAAAAGUUUUGCAGCCGACGUUGAUAUGGAGGAUCUCGUGUUGAACUCUUUCUGGAGAAAGGGAGAGAGCAAAGACGGAAAAUUAGUAAGUUGCCUCGAUAUGAUCACAAUCACAAGAAUAUCGAAUUUCCUAUGUGUUUAGAGGAAAUCAAACAUGAUUUGUUCAUAGCUUCUGCGAAACAUAGUUGACACAAACCUACUAGUUUAAAAGAGCUUCAAAGUUUAUUGGAAUUAAACCAUGCCAAUGAAAUCAAGAUCAAAGUUGUUGUCAAUAUCACUGGUAUGGGAUAUCUCAAAGAUAAAAAAGGAUCAAUGAGGGAUUGAAAUUGGAGCAGCAGUUACAAUAUCAAAAGCUAUUGAAGUGCUAAAGCAACAAAAUAAGAGUGAUUUUAACUCGGAUUUUGUUAUGAUUCUUGAAAAGAUUGCCGACCAUAUGAACAAAGUUGCCUCGGGGUUUAUUCGUAACACAGCCAGUGUAGGUGGCAAUUUGGUGAUGGCACAGAAGAGUAUGUUUCCUUAGGAUAUCGCUACUAUACUUCUAGCUGUGGAUUCAAUGGUUCACAUAAUGACUGGUUCAAAGUUUGAAUGGCUUUUUUUGGAGGAAUUUCUGAAGAGACCGCCAUUAGGUUUGGAGAGUGUGGUUUUAAGCAUUCAAAUUCAUAGUUUGGAAACUAUUAAAAUGGAAUCUUCAGUGACAAAAAGUAGAUUUUUCUUUGAAACUUACCGAGCUUCUCCUCGGCUGCUCAGAAAUGCGCUUCCUCACUUAAAUGCUGCUUUCCUUGUUCAGGUGUCUCCAUGCAAGGAUAGUGAUGGAACCAUUAUAGAUACUUGUAGGUUGACUUUUGGUGGUUUUGAGAAUAAACAUGCAAUCAGAGCUAAAAAUGUCGAAGAAUUUUUAGCACGAAAGUUGUUAAGUGUUAGAAAUCUGUAUGGUGCCAUCAACUUGCUUACGGAUACUGCCACUGCAAUUAUACCUCGCGAUGAAACCUCAAAAAAUGCUUACCUUUCAAGUUUAGUAGUUGGUUUUCUUUUUCAGUUCUUUAACUCACUGAUUGAAAGUCCUCCCAUAAUAAACAACGGUUAUCCAAAUGGACAUACUAAUUUGCCUUCGGCUGAGACGUCUCAGAAUCAGGUUCAGCCUAACAUAUUUCCUACUUUAUGGUCGUCGGGGAAGCAAAUCCUUGAAUCAGGCAGCGAGUAUAGACCGAUCGGCGAGCCAAUCAUGAAAUCUGGCGCCGCGAUGCAUGCAUCAGGUUUGUUUAGACUCAAGUUUUGAAUUACAUUCUGAUGACAGUUUCCUUGACUAUGCAUUUUGAUUGAUAUUUCACAUAUAUGCGAGGCUGUAUUUGUGGAUGAUAUUCCAUCACCAACAAAUUGCCUACAUGGAGCAUAUAUUUAUAGUGCAAAACCAUUGGCAAGGAUAAGAUGUAUAAAACUCAGGCAAGAGUUGGAACUUGACGGAGUGAGGGGCAUCCUUUCAAGUAAAGACAUUCCUAAUGGCGGGGAGAAUCUCGGAGCAAAGAGUAUAUUUGGUUCAGAACCUUUAUUUGCCGAAGAUAUUGCUAGAUGUGUUGGUGAACGUCUUGCGUUUGUGGUGGAAAUAGAUCUUCUGACAGGAGAAACCAGAUUUUUGCAAACAUAUAUUAUUUAUGACUGUGGACAAAGUCUCAACCCAGCUGUGGAUUUAGGACAGAUUGAAGGAUCUUUCAUACAAGGGUUAGGAUUUUUCAUGCUUGAAGAAUAUAAAACAAACCUUGAUGGUUUGGUGUGCAAGAUGGCACAUGGAACUACAAAAUCCCAACAAUGGACACUAUUCCUCAACAGUUUAAUGUUGAAAUCCUUAACAGUGAGCAUCAUCAACAUAGAAUUCUCUCUUCAAAGGGUAUGUGACCUAGGACUUUUCCAAUAUUUAAGUAUUAAACUUUUGUAUGCACAUAUGU
Molecule: long non-coding RNA, 2016 nt
Organism: Trifolium pratense (red clover)
Lineage: Eukaryota; Viridiplantae; Streptophyta; Magnoliopsida; Fabales; Fabaceae
Exons: 3
Source: RefSeq, a predicted model, not a curated record